Molecule: ribosomal RNA, 253 nt
Filed under: uncultured bacterium
Lineage: Bacteria
Description: partial 16S ribosomal RNA
Rfam family: Bacterial small subunit ribosomal RNA
Source: RNAcentral
UACGGAGGGUGCAAACGUUGCUCGGAAUUAUUGGGCGUAAAGCGCACGCAGGCGGCUCGACAAGUCGGGUGUGAAAGCCCUCGGCUCAACCGAGGAAGUGCAUUCGAAACUAGCGAGCUUGAGUACGGAAGAGGGUCUCGGAAUUCCCGGUGUAGAGGUGAAAUUCGUAGAUAUCGGGAGGAACACCAGUGGCGAAGGCGGAGACCUGGGCCGAUACUGACGCUGAGGUGCGAAAGCGUGGGGAGCAAACAGG